This 460-nucleotide ribosomal RNA is filed under the name uncultured bacterium. RNAcentral's name for it is "partial 16S ribosomal RNA". It matches the Rfam family "Bacterial small subunit ribosomal RNA", at positions 338 to 795 of the family's 1533-position model. The record is from RNAcentral.
CCUACGGGUGGCAGCAGUGAGGAAUAUUGGUCAAUGGACGGAAGUCUGAACCAGCCAUGCCGCGUGCAGGAAGACGGCUCUAUGAGUUGUAAACUGCUUUUGUACAAGGGUAAACCUGAAUACGUGUAUUCAGCUGAAAGUACUGUACGAAUAAGGAUCGGCUAACUCCGUGCCAGCAGCCGCGGUAAUACGGAGGAUUCAAGCGUUAUCCGGAUUUAUUGGGUUUAAAGGGUGCGUAGGCGGAUGGAUAAGUUAGAGGUGAAAUGUCCGAGCUUAACUCGGGAACUGCCUCUUAUACUGUUGGUCUAGAGAGUAGAUGCGGUAGGCGGAAUGUAUGGUGUAGCGGUGAAAUGCUUAGAGAUCAUACAGAACACCGAUUGCGAAGGCAGCUUACCAAUCUAUAUCUGACGUUGAGGCACGAAAGCGUGGGGAGCAAACAGGAUUAGAUACCCUAGUAGUC